RNAcentral lists this ribosomal RNA (460 nucleotides) under uncultured bacterium. RNAcentral describes it as "partial 16S ribosomal RNA". It matches the Rfam family "Bacterial small subunit ribosomal RNA", at positions 338 to 795 of the family's 1533-position model. The record is from RNAcentral.
CCUACGGGAGGCAGCAGUGAGGAAUAUUGGUCAAUGGACGAAAGUCUGAACCAGCCAAGCAGCGUGAAGGAUGACUGCCCUGUGGGUUGCAAACUUCUUUUAUAUGGGAAUAAAAUGUUCCACGUGUGGGAUUUUGUAUGUACCAUAUGAAUAAGGAUCGGCUAACUCCGUGCCAGCAGCCGCGGUAAUACGGAGGAUGCGAGCGUUAUCCGGAUUUAUUGGGUUUAAAGGGAGCGUAGAUGGGGUGUUAAGUCAGUUGUGAAAGUGUGCGGCUCAACCGUAAAGGUGCAAUUGAUACUGGCAGCCUUGAGUACAGUUGAGGUAUGCGGAAUUCGUGGUGUAGCGGUGAAAUGCUUAGAUAUCACGAAGAACUCCGAUUGCGAAGGCAGCCUACUAAGCUGCCACUGACGUUGAUGCUCGAAAGUGUGGGUAUCAAACAGGAUUAGAUACCCCAGUAGUC